RNAcentral lists this ribosomal RNA (301 nucleotides) under uncultured bacterium. RNAcentral's name for it is "partial 16S ribosomal RNA". It matches the Rfam family "Bacterial small subunit ribosomal RNA", at positions 509 to 809 of the family's 1533-position model. The record is from RNAcentral.
CAGUCGCCACGGUAAUACGUAGGUGGCAAGCGUUGUCCGGAAUUAUUGGGCGUAAAGCGCGCGCAGGCGGAUCAGUCAGUCUGUCUUAAAAGUUCGGGGCUUAACCCCGUGAGGGGAUGGAAACUGCUGAUCUAGAGUAUCGGAGAGGAAAGUGGAAUUCCUAGUGUAGCGGUGAAAUGCGUAGAUAUUAGGAAGAACACCAGUGGCGAAGGCGACUUUCUGGACGAAAACUGACGCUGAGGCGCGAAAGCCAGGGGAGCGAACGGGAUUAGAUACCCCCGUAGUCCCUGUCUCUUAUACA